AUCCAGCUGACGAGUCCCAAAUAGGAGGAAACGCGCAUCCUAGAU
Non-coding RNA from Schistosoma mansoni, 45 nucleotides. NCBI's taxonomy places the organism in Eukaryota, Metazoa, Platyhelminthes, Trematoda, Strigeidida, Schistosomatidae. The record is from Rfam.